UACGGAGGGGGCGAGCGUUAUUCGGAAUUAUUGGGCGUAAAGGGCGCGUAGGCGGCUGCACAAGUCAAAGGUGAAAUCCCUCGGCUCAACUGAGGAACUGCCUUUGAAACUGUGCGGCUUGAGUCCGGGAGGGGGUAGCGGAAUUCCCAGUGUAGCGGUGAAAUGCGUAGAUAUUGGGAGGAACACCAGUGGCGAAGGCGGCUACCUGGACCGGAACUGACGCUGAUGCGCGAAAGCGUGGGGAGCAAACAGG
RNAcentral lists this ribosomal RNA (253 nucleotides) under uncultured bacterium. Its description in RNAcentral is "partial 16S ribosomal RNA". It matches the Rfam family "Bacterial small subunit ribosomal RNA", at positions 524 to 776 of the family's 1533-position model. The record is from RNAcentral.